GAUGAACGCUGGCGGCGUGCCUAAUACAUGCAAGUCGAGCGAACGGACGAGAAGCUUGCUUCUCUGAUGUUAGCGGCGGACGGGUGAGUAACACGUGGAUAACCUACCUAUAAGACUGGGAUAACUUCGGGAAACCGGAGCUAAUACCGGAUAAUAUUUUGAACCGCAUGGUUCAAAAGUGAAAGACGGUCUUGCUGUCACUUAUAGAUGGAUCCGCGCUGCAUUAGCUAGUUGGUAAGGUAACGGCUUACCAAGGCAACGAUGCAUAGCCGACCUGAGAGGGGGGUCGGCCACACUGGCAAUGGGAAACGGUCCAGACUACUACGGGAGGCAACAGUAGGGAAUUUUGCGCAAUGGGCGAAAGCCUGACGGAGGAACGCCGAGUGAGUGAUGAAGGUCUUUGGAUCGUAAAACUCUGUUAUUCGGGAAGAACCUAUGUGUAAGUAAAUGUGCACAUCUUGACGGUACCUAAUCAGAAAGCCACGGCUAACUACGUG
Molecule: ribosomal RNA, 497 nt
Filed under: uncultured bacterium
Lineage: Bacteria
Description: partial 16S ribosomal RNA
Rfam family: Bacterial small subunit ribosomal RNA
Source: RNAcentral